Molecule: ribosomal RNA, 253 nt
Filed under: uncultured bacterium
Lineage: Bacteria
Description: partial 16S ribosomal RNA
Rfam family: Bacterial small subunit ribosomal RNA
Source: RNAcentral
UACGUAGGGGGCAAGCGUUGUCCGGAAUUAUUGGGCGUAAAGGGUGCGUAGGCGGUUCUUUAAGUCCGGGGUGAAAUCCUGGAGCUCAACUCCAGAACUGCCUUUGAUACUGAGGAUCUUGAGUUCGGGAGAGGUGAGUGGAACUGCGAGUGUAGAGGUGAAAUUCGUAGAUAUUCGCAAGAACACCAGUGGCGAAGGCGGCUCACUGGCCCGGUACUGACGCUGAGGUGCGAAAGCGUGGGGAGCAAACAGG